This is an RNA transcript of Oncorhynchus nerka (sockeye salmon), 6141 nucleotides long. It is a transcript of the gene named chondroitin sulfate N-acetylgalactosaminyltransferase 2-like, with no coding region annotated. The record is from RefSeq and is a predicted model, not a curated record. Lineage: Eukaryota; Metazoa; Chordata; Actinopteri; Salmoniformes; Salmonidae. The transcript is spliced from 8 exons.
CUAAAAAUAUUAUUUACUGUUCGACGCAAAUAUUUGUUGAUAUAUAGCUAGCUAACUAGCUAAACAACACUACCAGCUCCAAUCAAGCCGUUGUUUACACGUAUCUAGGUGUUAGCUAGCUUCCCAGCUAGCCAACUCUGGUUCCCUUUGUAGUUUGGUUGUUAUCUAUCUAGCCACAAGCUCAUAUAGGCUCGGCUAACGUUGUAGUGUAGCUUGUUAGCUAACUAUUUUCCUAGAGGUAGCAGUUACAUAAGCAGACAUUGCAUUAACGUUCUCCUGGCAGCAGGAUCGCAGAAUUAUCUUUCAAAAUAAUAGGCCCACUACAAAGACAUCCUACACUUUGGGAAGGUAGAUAUUUUUUGUCACUCCGGUGCGGUACAACUGUUUUUCAUAGCAUUGCAACCACCCUUGAAAAAAAUAAAUGGAUAAUUUGACGUACUUUUAAUAUUCAUAAAAAAUAUUUAUUUAGAAGGUUUACACCAAUACUGAUGUCUUGAAAGCUAUUGUUUAGUAGACUAUAUGUAAAGAAAUACACUUUUAAUCAAAUACAAAUAUAUUGUAAUGAAACAGGCAGGGAGCAGGUCUCGAACCCUCGACCUUCGAGCCCCGGCGCGCUAUCGACUGUGCCUAAAAAGCAUGCUCGUGCGGCAGGGUCGAUUUCCGCGCUUAUAAACCCAGGGUCGUUACAAUAUGUAAUUGGAAUUAUUCAAUAGUCUACAAAUUUGAAAUUGGUCUAUUGUGCAAGGACAACUGGUUUAAUACAGUGCUAGUGACUCCUUACUCCACCCACUCCAUAAUAAAUACAUAUUGGCUUAUAGUAAAAAAACUAUUAUUUGUGCCGAUGUAAAUGUGGGUUGGGAGUACUCAGUAGGGUCUGUAGAGUUAUAUGAUGUCAUUUUAUGGGGCACUGAAUAAUACGGAGUGCUGCUACAGCAGAACAGAUAGAACAAUGAGACAGAUAUUUCCCCGGAUGUAUAAAGGUGAAGCGUCGUGAGAGGAAGCCCAGUGGCCGGCAGUGGGGAAAGAUGGAACCAGAUGGAUUAUGGCCAACAUUAUACUAAUUUUCUCAUCAAUGAAACAUUUGAUCUCAAAGUUCUCCUUUCCCAAAACUAGAAUAUGUUACGAACAGAGUGGACAAUGUUUUGUAGACUUUACUCUUUGCCAAAGUAAAAAAAAAAAAAGAAGGCAUUGUUCAGAAGGAGCGCAAAGGCGAAUUGAGUUAUUGCACAAGCGCACUUCACAGAGUAGACAUUCCCUAACGGAAAUAUGCAAAUGUAUGUUCGAACGGACAAGUAGGAUCUCGCUAGCUCGUGCUUGGCUCUGCCCUCAUCAUUCCUUGUUCUGUCCACUAUGACUCACUUGUUCCCAUUGGAAGACAGGCUGUGGUCUAUCUUGGGUUAGUUAUCGAAAUCUUUGGCUGCAGUGUAGCCAUCUGAGGCUAAACUGCAGGCGGCAGGGUAGCCUAGUGGUAGAGCAUUGGACUAGUAACCGAAAGGUUGCAAGUUCAAAUCCCCGAGCUGACAAGGUACAAAAUCUGUUGUUCUGCCCCUGAACAGGCAGUUAACCCACUGUUCCUAGGACGUCAUUGAAAAUAAGAAUUUGUUCUUAACUGACUUGCCUAGUAAAAUAAAGGUAAAAUAAAAAUUAGCAUGUUCUAUUUGUAUGUUAAUUGUUUUGGUAGUUCCUGUCACGCCAAACUUGAUUCCUCACCAUCAUUUGGGUGUGGUGAGACCUUCUCCAAGUGAAUGACUUCAUAUCACAAUCUGUUUGGAUUUAUUCCAUUUAAUCUAAAUCUUACACAGUUCACAGAUAGGGUCUUUCAGGAGGUGUGUUUUGGUCUAAAAUGUCCACUUUCAUCUUCUCAUGUAAAAAGCAUGUCAAACAUCCUUCCUCCCGAUGAAAUUUCUAUGUGAGAAUUACCAGAACAAUGUGAGAUACUAAAAAUAUUUGAGUUUAUAUGUAUUUGGCUAAGGUGUAUGUAAACUUCCGACUUCCAACUGUAGCCGCAAAACAUGGUUAAAACUAUAACUUUGAUAUCAUGGAUGGUUAGUCAUUGCAUCCAUAGCUCUGUCUAUGAAUUUGAGUGGUACAUUUCUCCAGCACCAUCCCUCAGCUUUUUACUGAAACAAGUGUUUCUACUUAUGAUUGUUGCUUAAAAUAAGACAGGAUUUCUAAUAAGACAAAGGCAAAGUAAUAGUAACUUGUAUUUUCUCACAAAUGACCAUUGGGAGACAUGGGCUGUAUGAUCCAUGAGUUUAGGCAUUUGUUAGUGAGCACAUAUUUUAUGAGGAGGCAAAUAAAAUGUUCACACAAUCGCCAAAAAACAACACAGAUUCCUGUGACUUUCAAUCCAGAACCCAAAGCCCUAGGGGCAAACUAUUUAUUUGUCAGGCCAAGCAAUUGUCCUGAUGCACAUUUUUGGCACAUGUUAAGGCUGGCCUUGGGCUGAUUUAAAUGUAUAAAGCCAAGAUGCAGCCUGCUCAUCAGCAUUAGGUUAAUCUAGGUUGUUAAGAGGUAUGCCAGUCCAUCAUUGUUUUCAUUGUGUCUUUGAAGCAGUUGGCUUCUCAACUAAUCACCUACUUAUAAUCAGUACUUGGCACCUCAGUUAGGCCAUGGCAAGUGUGCAUGGAAGUCUGUAGCAUGGAAUGGCAUUUUAUUACACACUGGAAGUGAACAGGGUAAGCUAAAAAAGUACUCCCAACACCACAUUUACAUCAGCGCAAAUAAUAUUUAUUUAUUUGUGUUUUUAUAUAAGCCAAUAUAUAGUUCAAAUACAGUGAUUUGCUUUGUCUAUCAAAUGGGUGUAGUAAAAGGCCAGCAACACUCCGUAUUAUUCACUGCCCCAUGAAAUUACACCGUAUAUAGAUUGUACAGACCCUACUGAGUACCCAACCCCUCUUUUACAUCGGCACAAAUAAUAGAUUUUUCACUAUAAGCCAAAAUGUAUUUAAUAUACAGUGAUUUGUGUUGUGGCCUAUGGAAUGAGUGUAGUAAAAGGUCAGCAAUACUCUGUAUUAUUUAGUGCCCUCAUGAAAUGACACUAUAAAGUAUUCACACCCCUUGACUUUUUCCACAUUUUGUUGUUACAAAAUUGUAUUAAUUGUAAUUCUCUGUCAGCAAUCUACACAAAAUACUCUGUAAUGUCAAAGUGGAAAAAUUCUAACACUUGUAAAACAAAAUCAUGAAAAAUAAAACACUAAUAUAUCUUGAUUAGAUAGGUAUUCAACCCAGAGUCAAUACAUGUUAGAAUCAACUUUGGCAGCGAUUACAGUUUUUAGUCUUUCUGGGUAAGUCUCUUAAGAGCUUUCCACACCUGGAUUGUGCAACAUUUUUCCAUUCCUUUCAAAAUUCUUCAAGCUGGUUGUUGAUCAUUGCUAGACAACCAUUUUCAGGUCUUGCCAUAUAUUCUCAAGCAGAUUUAAGACAAAACUGUAACUCGGCCACACAACAUUCACACGGUAAACAACUCCAGUGUAGAUUUGGCCUUGUGUUUUAGGUUAUCGUCCUGCUGAAAGGUGAAUUAAUCUCCCAGUGUCUAGUGGAAAGCAGACUGAACCAGGUUUUCCUCAAAGAUUUUGCCUGUGCUUAACCCCAUCCCGUUUCUUUUUUAUCCUGAAAAACUCCCCAGUCCUUAUUAACGAUUACAAUUGGGCUCCCAAGUGGCGCAGCGGUCUAAGGCACUGCAUCUCGGUGCUAGAGGCGUCACUACAGACUAGAGGUCGACCGAUUAUGAUUUUUCAACGCCGAUACCGAUUAUUGGAGGACCAACAAAGCCGAUACCGAUUAAUCGGCCAAAUGUUUUUUUCUUUGUAAUAAUGACAAUUACAACAAUACUGAAUGAACACUUAUUUUAACUUAAUAUAAUACAUCAAUAAAAUCAAUUUAGCCUCAAGUAAAUAAUGAAACAUGUUCAAUUUGGUUUAAAUAAUGCAAAAACAGUGUUGGAGAAGAAAGUAAAAGUGCAAUAUGUGCUAUGUAAGAAAGCUAACGUUUCAGUUCCUUGCUCAGAACAUGAGAACAUAUGAAAGCUGGUGGUUCCUUUUAACAUGAGUCUUCAAUAUUCCCAGGUAAGAAGUUUUAGGUUGUAGUUAUUAUAGGAAUUAUAGGACUAUUUCCCUCUAUACCGUUUGUAUUUCAUUAACCUCUGACUAUUGGAUGUUCUUAUAGGCACUUUAGUAUUGCCAGUGUAACAGUAUAGCUUCCGUCCCUCUCCUCGCUCCUCCCUGGGCUCGAACCAGCAACACAACGACAACAGCCACCAUCGAAGCAGCGUUACCCAUGCAGAGCAAGGGGAACAACUACUAGAGGGCUCAGAGUUCUAAAUACACACUGAUGGAAGGAAUGAAAAUGGAUACCACUCACAAUAUAACUCCCCAUCAAACAAGACACACAAGGUGUUCCUGACUUUAUCUGAAUGAUGUGACAUGAAUGAACAAAAUAGCUUUUUAUAGCUGCACUCGAACAAACAUCCAACUUGAGUUGCUAAUAUAACUUGUUAAUUAAAGGGAACUUUUGAACAAUCCUAGAAUAUGUACAAUCUGUACAUCUUAAAGUAGAUUUCCCUGACGUUGAAGGGGAAUGCAGACUUGUCACCCAUAGACUGCAUGCGAGUGUGAUGCCCAGGCGAAGCUUGCCGCUGCAGGGCCGGAUGCGCUGGAUGCUCCUGGGGCUCUUCCUGUUGCUGGUCCUCCUCCUCUUUGCUUACCUGCUGGAGUGCACUCCCCCAGCUGAUGUUAGCCUGGUCCUGCCUGGCCUGGGAGGGGAGUCCCAUGGAAAGGAGUACUACCAGGCACUGCUGCAAGAACAGGAGGAGCGGUACCUCAGCCGCUCCGCCAGCCUCAAGCGGCAGAUCGCCCAACUCAAGCAGGAGCUCCAGGAGAUGAGUGAGAAACUCAAGGUCCUGCAGGACAGAAAGGAAGGUCCCGGGGUCCAGGGGCUUGUUGAAACCAAGGACCAGGAGCCUGGGGAUCUUCUCGAAUUCCUCCACUCCCAGAUCGACAAAGCCGAGGUGAACACGGGAGCACGACUGCCCAGCGAGUACGCCCUGGUCCCCUUCGAGAGCUUCACCUCUAGUAAGGUGUAUCAGCUGGAGAUGGGGCUGACCAGGCACCCAGAGGAGAAGCCUGUGCGGAAGGACCGCAGGGAUGAGCUGGUGGAGGUCAUUGAGGCAGCCCUGGACGUCAUAAACAACCCAGAUGAGGAGGAUGGCCAGGAGGAUGAUGUGCCCAUGCAGAGGCAGACCUACACCGAGAGCCACUUUACUGAGGGGCUGUACAGAACAGAACGGGACAAGGGCACACUCUACGAGCUCUUCUUUGCAAAAGAGGACUCCGACAACUUCCGCCAUGUCACUCUUUUCCGUCCUUUUGGUCCUUUAAUGAAAGUCAGAAGCACGUCUGUAGAAACAACUGGAGUCAUCAUUAAUAUCAUUGUGCCGUUGGCAGGCAGAACAGAGGCAUUCUCACAGUUCCUACACAACUUCAGGGAAGUGUGCAUAGAACAUGAUAGGCGAGUGCAUCUUACAGUGGUCUACUUUGGACAAGAGGGCUUACAAGAGGUGAAGUCUUACUUGGAAAAAAUGUCCAGGGAGGCAAGCUUUUCCAACUACACACUUAUCCCAGUGGACGAGGAGUUUUCCAGAGGCAGGGGUCUGGACAUCGGUGCCCAUACCUGGAAGAAGGGUGACGUAUUGAUGUUCUUCUGUGAUGUGGAUAUCUACUUCACACUGGACUAUCUCAACACCUGCCGUCUUCACACCGCUCCAAACAAGAGAGUCUUUUAUCCGGUGGUUUUCAGUUUGUAUAAUCCUGCCAUAGUCUAUGGAAAUCUGGAGCUGGCUCCCCCCAUUGAAAGUCAACUUGACUAUGACCCAAAACGCACCUCCAAGCUGUGUAAGGGCUAUUUGACCAAGAAGGAGAGUGAUGGAGUGCUGCAUCAGAUGACCUCAACCCAAUUGAGAUGGAUUGGGAUGAGUUGGACCACAGAGUGAAGGAAAAGCAGCCAACAAGUGUUCAGCAUAUGUGGGAGCUCCUUUAAGACGGUUGGAAAAGCAUUCCAGAUUCACAAGAAAGAUGCUGGAUUCUGGAGAGAUUUUGGCUUUGGAAUGACAUGUCAGUACCGCUCGGACUUCCUCAAUAUAGG